This 312-nucleotide long non-coding RNA is filed under the name Brassica napus (rape). RNAcentral describes it as "long non-coding RNA (BNAP_LNC019908)". Lineage: Eukaryota; Viridiplantae; Streptophyta; Magnoliopsida; Brassicales; Brassicaceae. The record is from RNAcentral.
GAGUGGAACUAGUGAGGUGUGUUAGGGUUUGUUGGUUAGAGGUAGCGGCAUCGUGGUCAGGGGUCACACUUGUAGUACGAUAGUUGGGGUCAGAGGUGGUGUGGUGUGGUAUGGAUGUUAUGUUGUUACAUGUUAUUAGCUUGUUACCUUAGUGGAGAGAAGAAGGGUUGGUGAGCAUGUCGUGAGUAUUAUGGUAGUUGUCAUACACAUCCACGAAUAUUUGAUAAAGAGUUUGGUUGGCAAAACACUCAAGAUCAUCCUGUCUAAAUAUUGGAGAGGUACACGUUGGGUCACCCGUGCGGAUGUGGUUAG